CCAGACUCCUACGGGAGGCAGCAGUGAGGAAUAUUGGUCAAUGGGCGGAAGCCUGAACCAGCCAAGUCGCGUGAGGGAAGAAGGCCCUGCGGGUCGCAGACCUCUUUGGACGGGGAGCAAGGCCGCCGACGUGUCGGCGGAAGGAGAGUACCCGUAGAACAAGCAUCGGCUAACUCCGUGCCAGCAGCCGCGGUAAUACGGAGGAUGCGAGCGUUAUCCGGAUUUAUUGGGUGUAAAGGGAGCGUAGGCGGUUAGAUAAGUCUGAUGUGAAAGCCCACAGCUUAACUGUGGGAUUGCAUUGGAAACUAUAGAACUAGAGUGUCGGAGAGGUAAGUGGAAUUCCUAGUGUAGCGGUGAAAUGCGUAGAUAUUAGGAGGAACACCAGUGGCGAAGGCGGCUUACUGGACGAUGACUGACGCUGAGGCUCGAAAGCGUGGGGAGCAAACAGGAUUAGAUACCCUGGUA
RNAcentral lists this ribosomal RNA (465 nucleotides) under uncultured bacterium. RNAcentral's name for it is "partial 16S ribosomal RNA". It matches the Rfam family "Bacterial small subunit ribosomal RNA", at positions 331 to 792 of the family's 1533-position model. The record is from RNAcentral.